GCGGUUAUGGUUUAGUGGUAAAACGGGUCCUUGCCAAGGACCAGUCGGGAGUUCGAUUCUCCCUAACCGCA
Parcubacteria bacterium C7867-001 is the source of this 71-nucleotide non-coding RNA. NCBI's taxonomy places the organism in Bacteria, Candidatus Parcubacteria. The record is from Rfam.